ACCACACGAAGCUGGAAUCGCUAGUAAUCGCGAAUCAGAAUGUCGCGGUGAAUACGUUCCCGGGUCUUGUACACACCGCCCGUCACACCAUGGGAGUCAGCAACGCCCGAAGUCAGUGACCUAACCGAAAGGGAGGAGCUGCCGAAGGCGGGGCCGGUAACUGGGGUGAAGUCGUAACAAGGUAUC
This 186-nucleotide ribosomal RNA is filed under the name uncultured bacterium. RNAcentral describes it as "partial 16S ribosomal RNA". It matches the Rfam family "Bacterial small subunit ribosomal RNA", at positions 1315 to 1500 of the family's 1533-position model. The record is from RNAcentral.